This 599-nucleotide ribosomal RNA is filed under the name Metaplastes ornatus. RNAcentral's name for it is "partial 12S ribosomal RNA". The stretch from base 182 to 590 matches the Rfam family "Microsporidia small subunit ribosomal RNA", at positions 752 to 1303 of the family's 1311-position model. Lineage: Eukaryota; Metazoa; Arthropoda; Insecta; Orthoptera; Tettigoniidae. The record is from RNAcentral.
GUAGAAUAGAAAUAAAUUAUAUUAGUUAGGAGUUUAAUGGUGAAAUUAAAUAAAUAAGGGACUUAAAAGGUAAAAUUUGUUAAGUUUGUAUUUUUUUAAGGUAGAGAAUUGAAGCUUUGAAAAUUUAAUGUGAAACUAGGAUUAGAUACCCUAUUAUUUUAAUUGUAAAAAGUGGAGACUUGAGUAGUAUUAGAUAAGUACUUGAAACUCAAAGAAUUUGGCGGUGUCUUAGUCUUUUCAGAGGAAUCUGUCCCGUGAUUGAUAUUACACGUUAAAUGUUACUUAAUUUGGUAUAAUCAGCUUGUAUACCGCCGUUAUAAAAUCAUCUUUUUAGAGGAAGAAUUUUUUUAAUAUUAUAAGAUAAUAUAUCAGGUCAAGGUGCAGCUUAUAAUUAAGAGGGAGAUGGAUUACAAUAGAAUUAUUUAAAUGGAUUUUUUAUUGAAAGAUUAAAAUGAAGGUGGAUUUGAAGGUAAUUUUAUUAUAUUAUGAUAAAAUGAUUUAAGCUCUUGGACAUGUACACAUCGCCCGUCACUCUCGUUAUUAAGGUGAGAUAAGUCGUAACAUAGUAGUCGUACUGGAAAGUGUGGCUGGGAAGUCAA